RNAcentral lists this ribosomal RNA (461 nucleotides) under uncultured bacterium. Its description in RNAcentral is "partial 16S ribosomal RNA". It matches the Rfam family "Bacterial small subunit ribosomal RNA", at positions 28 to 507 of the family's 1533-position model. The record is from RNAcentral.
GACGAACGCUGGCGGCGUGCUUAACACAUGCAAGUCGAACGGUAAGGCCUUUCGGGGUACACGAGUGGCGAACGGGUGAGUAACACGUGGGUGAUCUGCCCUGCACUUCGGGAUAAGCCCGGGAAACUGGGUCUAAUACCGGAUAGGACUGCGCGGUGCAUGCCGUGUGGUGGAAAGAUUUAUCGGUGCAGGAUGGGCCCGCGGCCUAUCAGCUUGUUGGUGGGGUAAUGGCCUACCAAGGCGACGACGGGUAGCCGGCCUGAGAGGGCGACCGCCACACUGGGACUGAGACACGGCCCAGACUCCUACGGGAGGCAGCAGUGGGGAAUAUUGCACAAUGGGCGCAAGCCUGAUGCAGCGACGCCGCGUGAGGGAUGACGGCCUUCGGGUUGUAAACCUCUUUCAGCAGGGACGAAGCGUGAGUGACGGUACCUGCAGAAGAAGCACCGGCCAACUACGUG